This is a non-coding RNA of Macaca mulatta (Rhesus monkey), 520 nucleotides long. The record is from RefSeq and is a predicted model, not a curated record. NCBI's taxonomy places the organism in Eukaryota, Metazoa, Chordata, Mammalia, Primates, Cercopithecidae.
UAUUGGGAUUACAGGUGUGAGCCACCACCCCCGGCCACAAUAAAUUUUACAUAUGUGAGAUCCAUGGUGGCCAACCUAUCACUUUUCUUUUGCAUGUUACUUUAUUAAUCUGAUUGGUUGUUUCAAGCUAUUUCACUAUCUUUGAUUUUGUUACCCAGGUACUAGAAGGAGGGUAAAUCCACAUUUGACAGGACCCAGUAUAGAUGAAGUCAAUCUCAGUUAAUCCUCAAUUCUUCCUAAAAACUCAUUCUGGGUCUUCAGACAACCUCAACCAAUUGUCAACCAGAAAAUGUUUAAAUUUACCUAUAGCCUGGGAGCCCUAGCUUUUGUCCCACCUUUCUAAACCAAACCAAUGUAUUUCUUAAAUGUAUCUGAUUGAUGUCUCACACCUUCCUAAAACACAUAAAACCAAGCUGUGCCCUGGCCACCUUGGGCACUUGUUCUCAGGACCUCCUGAGGGCUGUGUCGUGGGCCAUGGUCCCUCAUAUUUGUCUCAGAAUAAAUCUCUUAAAAUAUUUUA